This 365-nucleotide long non-coding RNA is filed under the name Monodelphis domestica (gray short-tailed opossum). RNAcentral describes it as "lncRNA (ENSMODG00000043811.1)". The record is from RNAcentral. Lineage: Eukaryota; Metazoa; Chordata; Mammalia; Didelphimorphia; Didelphidae.
CCUCCCCCCCGCGCCUCCGCCCUUGACUGUCGUGCGGCCACCGAUCGCCCGCCGGAGAAGGAAGGGUCAGAGGGGACGUAUUUUGGGCCUGGUCGGGGCCGCUUGACCCCCGCGCGGCGGACCCUUGUGGGUCCCGUUCGCUCCUCGGCGGCGCUGCGUCCUCGAGCGCCCGCGAUCUCGGCUCGAGAGGGGUCCCCUCGACGUGUGGGCCAGCGAGGGCCCCGGCGGUCAGGCGCCGGGGUCGGUCCCGCUCGCUCGAGUGAGCGUCUUCCCUCCGAGAUGGGGAAUUGGGGUUGGCGUGACCGGCCGGGUGUGCCUUGGUCGCUCGUCCCGACCGCCCCGAGGGGCUGGGGCGAAAACUCCCC